GUGCCAGCAGCCGCGGUAAUACGUAGGGGGCGAGCGUUGUCCGGAUUCACUGGGCGUAAAGGGCGCGUAGGCGGCCAGUUAAGUCAGCAGUAAAAUUCACAGGCUCAACCUGUGAAGGACUGUUGAAACUGGCUGGCUUGAGUGCAGGAGAGGGGAGUGGAAUUCCAGGUGUAGCGGUGGAAUGCGUAGAUAUCUGGAGGAACACCCGUGGCGAAGGCGGCUCCCUGGCCUGCUACUGACGCUGAGGCGCGAAAGCUGGGGGAGCGAACGGGAUUAGAUACCCCGGUAGUCC
RNAcentral lists this ribosomal RNA (292 nucleotides) under uncultured prokaryote. Its description in RNAcentral is "partial 16S ribosomal RNA". It matches the Rfam family "Bacterial small subunit ribosomal RNA", at positions 505 to 796 of the family's 1533-position model. The record is from RNAcentral.